This 429-nucleotide ribosomal RNA is filed under the name Bacteroidota bacterium. RNAcentral's name for it is "Bacteroidetes bacterium partial 16S ribosomal RNA". It matches the Rfam family "Bacterial small subunit ribosomal RNA", at positions 355 to 776 of the family's 1533-position model. The record is from RNAcentral. Lineage: Bacteria; Pseudomonadati; Bacteroidota.
UAGGGAAUCUUCGGCAAUGGGGGGAACCCUGACCGAGCAACGCCGCGUGAGUGAAGAAGGUUUUCGGAUCGUAAAGCUCUGUUGUUAAGGAAGAACGAGUGUGAGAAUGGAAAGUUCAUACUGUGACGGUACUUAACCAGAAAGGGACGGCUAACUACGUGCCAGCAGCCGCGGUAAUACGUAGGUCCCGAGCGUUGUCCGGAUUUAUUGGGCGUAAAGCGAGCGCAGGCGGUUAGAUAAGUCUGAAGUUAAAGGCAGUGGCUCAACCAUUGUAGGCUUUGGAAACUGUUUAACUUGAGUGCAGAAGGGGAGAGUGGAAUUCCAUGUGUAGCGGUGAAAUGCGUAGAUAUAUGGAGGAACACCGGUGGCGAAAGCGACUCUCUGGUCUGUAACUGACGCUGAGGCUCGAAAGCGUGGGGAGCGAACAGG